This 1208-nucleotide ribosomal RNA is filed under the name Enterococcus faecalis. Its description in RNAcentral is "bacterial SSU rRNA". It matches the Rfam family "Bacterial small subunit ribosomal RNA", at positions 34 to 1205 of the family's 1533-position model. The record is from RNAcentral. Lineage: Bacteria; Bacillati; Bacillota; Bacilli; Lactobacillales; Enterococcaceae.
GGCGAGGGGCGGCCCUAUCAUGCCAGUCGACGCUUCUUUCCUCCCGAGUGCUUGCACUCAAUUGGAAAGAGGAGUGGCGGACGGGUGAGUAACACGUGGGUAACCUACCCAUCAGAGGGGGAUAACACUUGGAAACAGGUGCUAAUACCGCAUAACAGUUUAUGCCGCAUGGCAUAAGAGUGAAAGGCGCUUUCGGGUGUCGCUGAUGGAUGGACCCGCGGUGCAUUAGCUAGUUGGUGAGGUAACGGCUCACCAAGGCCACGAUGCAUAGCCGACCUGAGAGGGUGAUCGGCCACACUGGGACUGAGACACGGCCCAGACUCCUACGGGAGGCAGCAGUAGGGAAUCUUCGGCAAUGGACGAAAGUCUGACCGAGCAACGCCGCGUGAGUGAAGAAGGUUUUCGGAUCGUAAAACUCUGUUGUUAGAGAAGAACAAGGACGUUAGUAACUGAACGUCCCCUGACGGUAUCUAACCAGAAAGCCACGGCUAACUACGUGCCAGCAGCCGCGGUAAUACGUAGGUGGCAAGCGUUGUCCGGAUUUAUUGGGCGUAAAGCGAGCGCAGGCGGUUUCUUAAGUCUGAUGUGAAAGCCCCCGGCUCAACCGGGGAGGGUCAUUGGAAACUGGGAGACUUGAGUGCAGAAGAGGAGAGUGGAAUUCCAUGUGUAGCGGUGAAAUGCGUAGAUAUAUGGAGGAACACCAGUGGCGAAGGCGGCUCUCUGGUCUGUAACUGACGCUGAGGCUCGAAAGCGUGGGGAGCAAACAGGAUUAGAUACCCUGGUAGUCCACGCCGUAAACGAUGAGUGCUAAGUGUUGGAGGGUUUCCGCCCUUCAGUGCUGCAGCAAACGCAUUAAGCACUCCGCCUGGGGAGUACGACCGCAAGGUUGAAACUCAAAGGAAUUGACGGGGGCCCGCACAAGCGGUGGAGCAUGUGGGUUUAAUUCGAAGCAACGCGAAGAAACCUUACCAGGUCUUGACAUCCUUUGACCACUCUAGAGAUAGAGCUUUCCCUUCGGGGACAAAGUGACAGGUGGUGCAUGAUUGUCGUCAGCUCGUGUCGUGAGAUGUUGGGUUUAAGUCCCCGCAAACGAGCGCAACCCUUUAUUGUUAGUUUGCCCAUCAUUUAGUUUGGGCACUCUAGCGAGACCUGCGGUGACCAAUCAGAGAAUGGUGGGGGAUGAAACGUUCCAAAUUCAAUUCCAGUGC